This is a non-coding RNA of Acanthosepion pharaonis, 102 nucleotides long. Lineage: Eukaryota; Metazoa; Mollusca; Cephalopoda; Sepiida; Sepiidae. The record is from the annotation of a GenBank genome assembly.
UUACGGCCAUAUCGCGUUGAAACACCGGUUCACGUCUGAUCACCGAAGUUAAGCAAAGUCGAAAUUGGUCAGUAUCUAGAUGGGUGACCACUCGAGAAUACU